CAAGCCUCUUUCUUAUGGAGGCUUAUAUUGUUGAAUAUCCUCACUUAAUCCCAUUGCAUAACAACAGUCGAUCUCGAGCCUAGCUCGACAUUACUAUAUUUCGAGGUAAGGUAUCUACUGUCUCUAAAAUCUGAGUUGAUUGGACCCCCUCCUAUUAGAUGUAUGUCUUAGAAGUCAAUAUGACUGAUACAUUAUAUUUUUUUAAGAUAUAAAUUUAUACUUGACAUAUUUAUUUAUUAAUAAAAUUGGAUAAUUUUCUAUACUAUUCUUAUUAUGUAUCCUGAAAUC
This 288-nucleotide long non-coding RNA is filed under the name Elaeis guineensis (African oil palm). Its description in RNAcentral is "long non-coding RNA (EGUI_LNC050954)". The record is from RNAcentral. Lineage: Eukaryota; Viridiplantae; Streptophyta; Magnoliopsida; Arecales; Arecaceae.